RNAcentral lists this transfer RNA (75 nucleotides) under Erythrobacter sp. Its description in RNAcentral is "tRNA-Thr". It matches the Rfam family "tRNA". Rfam says of the family: Transfer RNA (tRNA) molecules are approximately 80 nucleotides in length. Their secondary structure includes four short double-helical elements and three loops (D, anti-codon, and T loops). Further hydrogen bonds mediate the characteristic L-shaped molecular structure. tRNAs have two regions of fundamental functional importance: the anti-codon, which is responsible for specific mRNA codon recognition, and the 3' end, to which the tRNAs corresponding amino acid is attached (by aminoacyl-tRNA synthetases). tRNAs cope with the degeneracy of the genetic code in two manners: having more than one tRNA (with a specific anti-codon) for a particular amino acid; and 'wobble' base-pairing, i.e. permitting non-standard base-pairing at the 3rd anti-codon position. RNAcentral also lists the same sequence under 14 other names. Lineage: Bacteria; Pseudomonadati; Pseudomonadota; Alphaproteobacteria; Sphingomonadales; Erythrobacteraceae. The record is from RNAcentral.
GCUGCGGUAGCUCAGUGGUAGAGCACUCCAUUGGUAAUGGAGAGGUCGACAGUUCAAUCCUGUCUCGCAGCACCA